Neopelma chrysocephalum (saffron-crested tyrant-manakin) is the source of this 1414-nucleotide long non-coding RNA. RefSeq lists it as uncharacterized. The record is from RefSeq and is a predicted model, not a curated record. Lineage: Eukaryota; Metazoa; Chordata; Aves; Passeriformes; Pipridae. The transcript is spliced from 4 exons.
UGGCUAAGCCGCAACAAUGGUAUUUUCACAUUGAAAACUCCUGUGCACUCUAUCGUAAUAUCUGUCAGUCACUAAGAUUUUUAACAGAUUUGAAGGGUAGGAGAGGAUACCAGAUGACGUUUUUAUUGUGAUUACGCAGUAAUGCAACACAGAGUGUAAGUCCUUAUGGAUUACUUUUUGCCAAUGCAGCAGGGACUAUAAUUACAAACAGAACAACAGUUACUUUUUGUUUUGCUACUUUUCAGCAUAAAUAGAAUAAUUUUUAAAAAGUGGAAUUUCAGCAAUAGAAAAGAAUUAUUUCAAAAUGUGUUUUCUUCACUAUGCUGGCCCCUUACGUGUGCAUUUUUUGUUAGAACCAGUGAGAACAGAUCUUUUUCUGCAGUCUCAGGAUGCUCAUAUGGAAAGUAAGAGUAUUCCUCCUGCUUUCUAUAAAACUUCUCUUUUCAGAUGUUAUGUGUUAUAGUUUCCCUUAAAGAGAUUAUAUAGAGGAGAUAAGUUUACAGAACCAUGGUGCUAUACUUCAUAAAAGCUAACACACCUUUAUGCAUAUUCAAAUUAAACUUUAAAAGCAGUGGGUUGAGAUGAUUUUACAAAUAUGCAUGAUUGAAUGUCAUCCCCAUUAGCAACCAAACUGCUUUCUCGUUCAUUAAAAUGUCUUUAUUUUCAUAAACAUGAUCUGGGUAUUUGAAGAGCACCUUGUGUUACAUGAGAAUGAAUUAUAUGUGUGUGUGGCUCAUAGAGGUCACAUUUACCCAGGAUCAGGAGCUGCUUUGAGGGUUGAGUUUCCUGUAUUGUCUCCUGUGGCCACCAUUCUUCUUUGUACCUGUUCUUUCUCCUACCAGCUCUGCAGCACUGACGAUUAAGCCACCAAAUGGAGAAUACACCACCACAGACACAAGAGCCAAUCAGGCAGCCUUAACACCAGUGCAAGCUGCCAGGAACGGAGACCAGAAAGCACAACUUCCUAUACAGAGUAGCAGCCACAGGCCUUAAACACUUGGGAUGAACACUGCCAACAGCCCCACAACACUGUCACAGGGUGCAGAGAAAGGGCCAGAACAGCCACUCCGGGCAGCUGGAACAUCCUCUAAGACCAGGACAUCACAGCCUUGGCAGAAAUGAUUCUUGUGAAUUUCUCUGCCAGUAUGACAGGUAAUGGUGAAAGCAGCAGAGAGGACACUGAAGGAGAACGAGGAUGCUUCUGACUUUGCUUCUUUAAGAUAAUAUAGUGAGUGCAGGCAACUUCCCAUGUGAUUCACCUAGGCAGCAACAAAACUGAUAAACUGGCACUGUGGAUCCCUCCUCUAGCAGACUGAGCACAGCGUCCCAACCCUGUCUUGAAGCUACGUUUCAAUGUCCCUUCAAGGAAGCUGGUCCGUCUCCUCUCCAGAGUAUGACUGGUAGUGCCACUGCU